GGGGUUGUAGCUCAGUGGUUCAGCACUCACCUAGCAUGUGUGAGGCACUGGGUUUGAUUCUCAGCACCACA
Molecule: transfer RNA, 71 nt
Filed under: Marmota monax (woodchuck)
Lineage: Eukaryota; Metazoa; Chordata; Mammalia; Rodentia; Sciuridae
Description: tRNA.Ala
Rfam family: tRNA
About the family: Transfer RNA (tRNA) molecules are approximately 80 nucleotides in length. Their secondary structure includes four short double-helical elements and three loops (D, anti-codon, and T loops).
Source: RNAcentral